UAUUCAGAUCUCAAAAAUGUUCUAUCCAAAUUCUUCUUUCUCGAUGAGAUGCAUUUUUCAAGAAUUUCAUUCUAUCUCAACACCAAUUUUACACUCAUCGUUCCUAUAAAACUCCCAGAAAAAGAAAAUGAAACCCUAAAUCUCAUUAUUGAUGAGAUUUCACUGAUUUUUCCUCUCAAAACUCAAGUUUAUCACAUCAGCCUCCACAUUUCAAUAGGGUAACAGAUUAGUCGCUGAACAGUUUGGUUUGAUCUGCUUUGGCUUCUUAAAUAAAUGUUGCUGAAAUAUGCCUCAGUUAUUUUUCUCUCAUCAUCAUGGAUGUUGGGGUUUUGAAGUGGGAAAAAACCUUUGUAUUCCGUCUUUACCUGAUUGAAGAUUAUCAAAACAAAUUGAAGGGGUGUAUACCCUAUGAUUUCUAGACAUUCCUGAUCUCAAAUUGAAGCAGCUACCAGAUCCACAAAAUUUCAUCAUAUUUACAACAAAUUGGUUCCAGUGAUUCUACUCCAAGUACACUAGUGGAGAACCGUAAGCGAGGACAUCACACCCAGAUGGCAGCAACAGGGUGUACGGGAACACGUAAUGAAGCAUGUUUACAGAUUAAUGUGGAAGUGGAACCCCAAGCAAUAUUUCAAGCCUCUGCAGCAACUUUUCAGACCUCAGCGGGGUUAUGAUGUUGAUUGGUGAGGCUAUUGCUUCCAAUAAACCUAACCGAGGGGCUGUGGGCAAGAAUCUGACUGAGAAAGGGAAAUCAACUCGAUGUUGUUACAUGUGGGCAUCGUAGAACCGUGUAAGUCGAUCUUGCUUUGGAGUUGCAGAGAGUGAACUGGAAUUGCAAUCCAAAUAUGAUCUCUUCUACCUCUUUGCUUUUUGGAUUUUGCGAACAACUUGAAUUUUGAUGAACAAUCCCUGCAGAUUCGAAUUACUUAGUCUUAUUAUUAGAAAUUGCUUUCCAUCGGGUAAUUUACUGAAAACAAUGUCAAGAAGCUCCCUUAUGAUUGAUAAUUGGUGAAUGGGCAUGGCACUGUCAGUUCUACAUUUCUGCAUCCAUCCUUCUAGUGGAAAUCUGGUUUUCCUGAAAAAGGCAUAUCUUUGGAAAUAUAGUUCCUUUCUUCUUUUAUGGUUAAAAACAGGGUAUUGCAACUAACUGAAAGUACUAGAAUGACAGGUUACAUGUGGAAUACACCUGAUGAGUUACAAAACUCAAAGUAUUUCAACAUUCUGUGAAGGAAUAUGAGAUUUCUCAAAGUGGUGGAAUAUCUUUUCGUUCUGCCUGAGCCUCCUUUUAAUCUUCUUUGUUGUGACGGCGCUUCUAAAUGCAAUCCAGGCAUUGUUGUUUAUGGAUUCUUAUGCGGGAAUAAUCAGGGCUCCUUUUAAAUGCUGAGUCGUCAGGUGGUCUUGGAAUUGCUACGGAUUAUGUUGCAGAAAUCCUUGCCACUGCUUAGUCAGACUCAAAAGCUGUGAUAUUCUACAGAUUUUGUUUUUCCUUUUCUUUUUCUUCGAUUUUAUGGGCGUGACUUGGCUGUCUGGGCUCCUGCCAAGUUAUUUUCUGUUUUUGAAUGUGAAAACUAUUACCACACCCAUUUUCCAGAUAUUUUAGAACGGUUUUUUGGGAACCAUGGUUAUUUUGGGGGACCAUGGUGUUAUUAGGCCAACCUCCUAUACUUAUAAGGGGUGUCCCAAAAUUAGGUAAAUA
Molecule: long non-coding RNA, 1693 nt
Organism: Papaver somniferum (opium poppy)
Lineage: Eukaryota; Viridiplantae; Streptophyta; Magnoliopsida; Ranunculales; Papaveraceae
Exons: 2
Source: RefSeq, a predicted model, not a curated record